AGGGCACAUGAAGGAUGCCUAGGCUCCCGGAGGCGAAGAAGGACGUGACAAGCUGCGAUAAGCCGCGGCGAGGGGCAAAUACCCGUCGAGCCGCGGAUUUCCGAAUGGGGCAACCCGCCGGAAGCGAUUCCGGCAUCCGCGCAUGGCGCGGAGGCGAACCCGGGGAACUGAAACAUCUCAGUACCCGGAGGAGAAGAAAACAACAGUGAUUGCGCAAGUAGUGGCGAGCGAACGCGCAGGAGCCCAAAACCGGCGCCGUUACGGCGGCCGCCGGGGUUGUAGGACCGCCAUCGAAGGCACAUCGGCAGGCUAGGGGAACACAGUGGAAACUGUGGCCGCAGAGGGUGAAGGCCCCGUACCCGAAAGCGAUGCAGACAGCCGAGGCGGCACCUGAGUAGCGCAGGACACGAGAAAUCCGGCGUGAACCCGCGGGGACCAUCCCGCAAGGCUAAAUACUCCCGGGAGACCGAUAGUGGACCAGUACCGUGAGGGAAAGGUGAAAAGAACCCCGAACAGGGGAGUGAAACAGACCCUGAAAUCAUGUGCCUACAAGCGGUCGGAGCCACGUAUUGUGGUGACGGCGUGCCUUUUGCAUAAUGAGCCUACGAGUCACCGGCGCCGGCGAGGCUAAGGGCAAGGAUGCCCGGAGCCGAAGCGAAAGCGAGUCGGAACACGGCGCUGCCAGUCGGCGCCGGUGGACGCGAAACCAAGUGAUCUACCCUUGGGCAGGCUGAAGGCGGGGUAACACCCGCUGGAGGGCCGAACCGGUAAGCGUUGAAAAGCUUUCGGAUGACCUGAGGGUAGGAGUGAAAGGCCAAUCAAACUUGGAGAUAGCUCGUACUCCCGAAAUGCAUUUAGGUGCAGCCUCGGGCGAGUCCCGCGGAGGUAGAGCGACCGAUAGGAUGCGAGGGCUUCGCCGCCUGUCAAGUCCUGACGAACUCCGAAUGCCGCGGGAUGUUGCCCGGGAGUGAGGGCGCGGGUGCUAAGGUCCGCGUCCGAGAGAGGAACAACUCAGACCACCGUCUAAGGCCCCGAAAUCCGGGCUGAGUUGAAGGCAAUAACGAGGUGGGGCCUCAGAGACAGCUAGGAUGUUGGCUUGGAAGCAGCCAUUCAUUUGAAGAGUGCGUAACAGCUCACUAGUCGAGAGGCCCCGCAUGGAUAAUAAUCGGGCAUAAGUCCGGUGCCGAAGACGUGGAAUCCGCCCAGUGGCGGUAUUGGUAGGGGAGCAUUCCCGUAGCCGCAGAAGGCGUGGCGCGAGCCGCGCUGGAGGCCCGGGAAAAGCAAAUGUAGGCAUAAGUAACGAUAAGGGGUGCGGGAAACACCCCCGCCGUAAGACCAAGGGUUCCUGAUCAACGCUAAUCGGAUCAGGGUUAGCCGGGGCCUAAGGGGCAGCCGCAAGGCGGGACCCGAUGGACAUACAGUAAAGAUUCUGUAGCCCCGUGCAGGAGCGAUGUGGAGACGGAGAAGUGACACGCCCGCGUGCUGACGGAAUAGCACGUUGAAGGCCGUAGGUAUACCUUGCGCAGGCAAAUCCGCGCGGGGUGCUGAAAGCCGACAGUACACCGAGCCCCCGGGCAAGGUGACAGCGGCGGUAACCAUGCUCCCGAGAAAACCCGCUAAGCAUAUCCUGUACGGGCCCGUACCGCAAACCGACACAGGUGGUCGGGUAGAACAUACCAAGGCGCUCGAGAGAUCCACGGUUAAGGAACUAGGCAAACUGACCCCGUAACUUCGGGAUAAGGGGUCCUCCCUGCAAGGGGAGGCGCAGAGAAUAGGUCCAGGCAACUGUUUAACAAAAACACAGGGCUGUGCAAAGUUUAAAGAUGACGCAUACAGCCUGACACCUGCCCGGUGCCGGAAGGUUAAGAGGAGAUGUCACCGCAAGGGAAGCAUUGAAUUGAAGCCCCGGUAAACGGCGGCCGUAACUAUAACGGUCCUAAGGUAGCGAAAUUCCUUGUCGGGUAAGUUCCGACCUGCACGAAUGGUGUAAUGAUCUGGACACUGUCUCAACCGUGGGCUCGGUGAAAUUGUAGUAUCGGUGAAGAUGCCGAUUACCCGCAACGGGACGAAAAGACCCCGUGAACCUUUACUGCAGCUUAGCACUGUGACCGGGUGCGCGAUGUGUAGGAUAGUCAGGAGGCAGCGAGCCAUGGACGCCAGUCUGUGUGGAGCCGAUGUUGAAAUACUGACCUUCGCUCAUUUGGUCUCUAACCCGCGGUUGCGGGGACACUGCUUGGCGGGUAGUUUGACUGGGGUGGUCGCCUCCAAAAGAGUAACGGAGGCUUCCAAAGGUGCGCUCAGGCCGAUUGGUAACCGGCCGAAGAGUGUAAUGGCACAAGCGCGCUUGACUGGGAGGCCGACAAGCCGAACAGGUAGGAAACUAGGGCAUAGUGAUCCGGUGGUUCCGCAUGGAAGGGCCAUCGCUCAAAGGAUAAAAGGUACUCCGGGGAUAACAGGCUGAUCCCUCCCAAGAGCUCAUAUCGACGGAGUGGUUUGGCACCUCGAUGUCGGCUCGUCACAUCCCGGGGCUGGAGAAGGUCCCAAGGGUUAGGCUGUUCGCCUAUUAAAGUGGCACGCGAGCUGGGUUCAGAACGUCGUGAGACAGUUCGGUCUCUAUCUGUUGUGGGCGUGGGAGAUUUGCGGGGACCCGACACUAGUACGAGAGGACCGUGUUGGACGGACCGCCGGUGAACCGGUUGUGGCGCCAGCCGCACCGCCGGGUAUCCGCGUCCGGACAGGAUAAGUGCUGAAAGCAUCUAAGCACGAAGCCCCCCCCAAGAUAAGAUCUCCAAUAGGGCCGUCGGAGACUACGACGUAGAUAGGCCGCAGGUGCAGGCGUGGCGACGCGCACAGCCGAGCGGUACUAAUCGCCCGAACCCUUUCCG
This 2885-nucleotide ribosomal RNA is filed under the name gut metagenome. RNAcentral's name for it is "bacterial LSU rRNA". It matches the Rfam family "Bacterial large subunit ribosomal RNA". The record is from RNAcentral.